UGCGGUGAAACGGGUACACUAUGGCCU
This 27-nucleotide unclassified non-coding RNA is filed under the name Mus musculus (house mouse). RNAcentral describes it as "piRNA piR-mmu-68340116". Lineage: Eukaryota; Metazoa; Chordata; Mammalia; Rodentia; Muridae. The record is from RNAcentral.